Molecule: non-coding RNA, 72 nt
Organism: Phrynosoma platyrhinos (Desert horned lizard)
Lineage: Eukaryota; Metazoa; Chordata; Lepidosauria; Squamata; Phrynosomatidae
Source: the annotation of a GenBank genome assembly
GCCAGUGUGGCAUAGUAGUUUGAGCAUUAGACUAUGACUCUGGAAACCAGAGUUCGAAUCCCCACUUGGCCA